RNAcentral lists this ribosomal RNA (604 nucleotides) under Hypocreales sp. CJ-2013. RNAcentral's name for it is "eukaryotic LSU rRNA". The stretch from base 217 to 370 matches the Rfam family "5.8S ribosomal RNA". The record is from RNAcentral. Lineage: Eukaryota; Fungi; Ascomycota; Sordariomycetes; Hypocreales.
UGGAAGUAAAAGUCGUAACAAGGUCUCCGUUGGUGAACCAGCGGAGGGAUCAUUACCGAGUUUACAACUCCCCAACCCUAUGUGAACAUACCUUCUGUUGCCUCGGCGGGGCAGCCCCGACCGCCCUGUGCGCCGGAACCAGGCCCCCGCCGCAGGACCUUGACUCUUCAGUAUUUGUAUUCUUCUGAGUGGCUGCAAAGCAACAAAAUAAGUAAAAACUUUCAACAACGGAUCUCUUGGUUCUGGCAUCGAUGAAGAACGCAGCGAAAUGCGAUAAGUAAUGUGAAUUGCAGAAUUCAGUGAACCAUCGAAUCUUUGAACGCACAUUGCGCCCGCCAGUACUCUGGCGGGCAUGCCUGUCCGAGCGUCAUUUCAACCCCUCAGGCCCUGCCUGGUGUUGGGGAUCAGCGCCAUGGUCGUCCCCUGUGGGCGGCGCGUGCUGUCCCUGAAAUACAGUGGCGGUCUCGCUGCACCCUUCUGUGCGUGGUAAGCAACAUGCUUCGCACCGGGAGAUGCGCGUGGCCACGCCGUAAAACCCCCCAACUUUUAAAGGUUGACCUCGGAUCAGGUAGGAAUACCCGCUGAACUUAAGCAUAUCAAUAAG